Long non-coding RNA from Bufo bufo (common toad), 394 nucleotides. RefSeq lists it as uncharacterized. Lineage: Eukaryota; Metazoa; Chordata; Amphibia; Anura; Bufonidae. The transcript is spliced from 3 exons. The record is from RefSeq and is a predicted model, not a curated record.
UUCCUGUUUUCCAUAGGUAACUGGUUGAAGGAAAUAGGAAUAUAUAUAUACUUAUGUUGUUGUUUUUCUCUUUAUCAUAUAUAUCCUGGUGAGAUGCUCCUGCUGUUUGAUCGAUCGGAUCGCCCAGUCACGUGCAGAUAAUCACAUCCUAAUCGCAGCUCCCAGAUACACCACGGAUCAACCUAUGUCUUUGAUGGAAAGGAUGUCCAACUAAACGUUCAUCGCCACGCCACACCUUACCACAUCAGGACCUGCCUCAGAGUCAACUCCACAAAGAAUCGAACCGAAGGAUGGAGCAUCAUCAUGGAGGCAAUAACACCCAAGGAGCACCACAAUCGACGAGGGCAAGCUGGGGAAACCGAAGAUUCAGCAAGAGACUCAAAGAACACAGGGG